AUGACGGCCAGCAAGCUCUCCUGCCGAGGAGCCCGUGCGCCCUCCCCAGCCGCGCGGGAAGUGUGGCGGUCCGACGCCACCGCGACUUAUUCCACGCGGACAGCAGCGUGGCCCCCCGACACCUUCCCCGUGUUCCUGGAACUCUGCGGAAGGCAGGCAGCUAGCAGCUCAGGUUCUGGAAAUGUUGUUCCCUGAAAGGCCACGCGGGGCGCUGCGGGGCGCUGCGGACUCUCUGCCACCCUCCUUGGGUUCCAGAUCUGAACUUCCCGCAAGUUCCCCUGGGAUCUGAGGAGACCACGGGACCAAGAGGAGCAUGCCAGUUGCCGCUCUUGGGAGGAACGGUGUGGUUCCCCCAUCGAUACGGAGAGAAAUCCGGGAAUACGUGUGGGGAUGGCUGUGACGGGUGUGGGACAAUGGUGGGAGGAAUAUAACACAGGAUUGGGUUCAGUUUAUGGAUACAGACCCACUAAGUGGAGAUUGCGUGUGUUUUAGUUUGAGAGGUCAGCAAGGGCUUGUGAGAUGGGUUGGCUAAGAUGGGGACCAAACAGUGGCCCACACCUAAUGAAAUCAAAAUGCCAGAACAGGCUUGCUGUGCUCCAGAACGUAUCUAAUAACUUAG
RNAcentral lists this long non-coding RNA (619 nucleotides) under Mustela putorius furo (domestic ferret). Its description in RNAcentral is "lncRNA (ENSMPUG00000025573.1)". The record is from RNAcentral. Lineage: Eukaryota; Metazoa; Chordata; Mammalia; Carnivora; Mustelidae.